GAAUGACCUUGACUACUGUCAGACAAGGAGAGCGUCAGCUUCGCCGUGUGGAGAGAGCUUCCCCAGUUUUCAGCAGGUGUCCUUGCUGCAGGGAUGACCAGGAACCAAAGGGGGUUACUGAACCAGAGGUGUGUCGAGACGUGUCCCCACCCUGAGUCUCAACCCACUAUUCUCAACAAUUCAGAUACCUCAACUUCUAUUCAUCCCUCCUUACUUUGACCCCUACACAUACCUCCUUUCCUCGCCCCUACUCGUCCCUCCUUUCCUUGGGGAGGGACUCAUCCAGCCAAAACCCUGACUCUUUAUCUUAGUAAAAUAAAAUUCUUAAAACUG
Notolabrus celidotus (New Zealand spotty) is the source of this 333-nucleotide long non-coding RNA. RefSeq lists it as uncharacterized. NCBI's taxonomy places the organism in Eukaryota, Metazoa, Chordata, Actinopteri, Labriformes, Labridae. The record is from RefSeq and is a predicted model, not a curated record. The transcript is spliced from 2 exons.